RNAcentral lists this long non-coding RNA (868 nucleotides) under Olea europaea subsp. europaea. The record is from RNAcentral. Lineage: Eukaryota; Viridiplantae; Streptophyta; Magnoliopsida; Lamiales; Oleaceae.
GUCGGGCCAUAUGUUAGUGUAGAAAAGUCCAAUGAUUUAGUUUUCUUUAUAGGGACUCUGGGGUGGCAUGAUAGCCGGAGUAGGUUUGCAGACGCUGUUGCUCUUACUGGUACUGUACAAAACCAACUGGAACACGGAGGUUCGUAUUAAUGGUUUCUCUACAUUGCUCAUUUGUAGGAUGUGUACGGAUUUUAAGUGGCUUUUUGUAACGUGUUGGAUAAUUUUCUUUUUUAUAACUUAUAAGGUAAAAAAGGUCCCUCAACCUUACUGUUUGGAUAAACUUCUCUCAUUUCCAAUCGAUUAAAGUUGUUUUAAAACUUAAAAGUAAUACUUAACCAAAAAAACUCCUAAUACGUCGAGUAAAUGUUUCUUUUACUUGUCGAUGAUGAUGUUUAAAUUUGUAUGUGCGCACUCCUGGCAUGAUUUUCCAUUAUAGGAAGAUUUCUUUCAUGGGUUAUUUUGCAAUUCUUAGUUUCGUAGUUCCAUUUUGAUCAAUGUAUUAUCUUACCAACUACAAAUUGCAGGUUGAGCAAACAUCAGAGCGUAUGCGAAAGUGGGGAGGGCAAGACGUAAUUGACAAAUCACAUACUGACCAACUUCCUUCAAAAAAUGGAAUUCCUUAAUUGCACGCUUGGUCGCAUCACUGGCUAUGAUAUGACCAUAUAAUAAAUAAAGAUUUUUUUACUCCAACACAACGAUGCUUGAUGUUUUAAGAGAUUGGUUGCUCGUAUGUUUAAAUUUCGUUAUUGUAAUUUUGUGCUCAUUAGCCUGUGUUUCAUUUUCGAUUAUUUUAAGAAAGGUGAUUUUUUUUGGCAAGCAAAAGUGGUGAUUAAAAUGAAUAAAAUAAAUGUGGGUGACAGAUUAAUAA